AACGAACGCUGGCGGCAUGCCUAACACAUGCAAGUCGAACGAGACCUUCGGGUCUAGUGGCGCACGGGUGCGUAACGCGGGGGAACCUGCCCUUAGGUUCGGAAUAAUUCUCCGAAAUGGGUGCUAAUACCGGAUAAUGUCCUCGGACCAAAGAUUUAUCGCCUUUGGAUGGGCCCGCGUUGGAUUAGCUAGUUGGUAGGGUAAAAGCCUACCAAGGCGACGAUCCAUAGCUGGUCUGAGAGGAUGAUCAGCCACACUGGGACUGAGACACGGCCCAGACUCCUACGGGAGGCAGCAGUGGGGAAUAUUGGACAAUGGGCGAAAGCCUGAUCCAGCAAUGCCGCGUGAGUGAUGAAGGCCUUAGGGUUGUAAAGCUCUUUUACCCGGGAUGAUAAUGACAGUACCGGGAGAAUAAGCUCCGGCUAACUCCGUG
Molecule: ribosomal RNA, 433 nt
Filed under: uncultured bacterium
Lineage: Bacteria
Description: partial 16S ribosomal RNA
Rfam family: Bacterial small subunit ribosomal RNA
Source: RNAcentral